This 300-nucleotide ribosomal RNA is filed under the name uncultured Halobaculum sp. Its description in RNAcentral is "bacterial SSU rRNA". It matches the Rfam family "Bacterial small subunit ribosomal RNA", at positions 496 to 795 of the family's 1533-position model. Lineage: Archaea; Methanobacteriati; Methanobacteriota; Halobacteria; Halobacteriales; Haloferacaceae. The record is from RNAcentral.
GCUAAAGACGGGUGAGGAGGCGGGGUAAUACGGAGGGUGCAAGCGGUAUCCGGAUUUAUUGGGUGUAAAGGGUCCGUAGGCGGGCCUAUAAGUCAGUGGUGAAAUCUCACAGCUUAACUGUGAAACUGCCGUUGAUACUGUAGGUCUUGAGUAAAUUUGAAGUUGCUGGAAUAAGUAGUGUAGCGGUGAAAUGCAUAGAUAUUACUUAGAACACCAAUUGCGAAGGCAGGUCACUAAGAUUUAACUGACGCUGAGGGACGAAAGCGUGGGGAGCGAACAGGAUUAGAUACCCCUGUAGUC